This 147-nucleotide unclassified non-coding RNA is filed under the name uncultured Xylariaceae. Its description in RNAcentral is "sequence contains ITS1". The record is from RNAcentral. Lineage: Eukaryota; Fungi; Ascomycota; Sordariomycetes; Xylariales; Xylariaceae.
CCGAGUUGUCCUCUGUGGCACUCCCUUAUACCCCUUGUGAACCUACCGUCGUUGCCUCGGUGUGGCCGCCUCACAGCGCCCGCCGGCGGCCCUAUAAACUCUGUAUACUUUGAAAACUUGAUUCUGAACCUAUAACAAAUAUUGUUA